This 73-nucleotide transfer RNA is filed under the name Pseudomonadales bacterium. RNAcentral's name for it is "tRNA-Arg". It matches the Rfam family "tRNA". From Rfam's summary of the family: Transfer RNA (tRNA) molecules are approximately 80 nucleotides in length. Their secondary structure includes four short double-helical elements and three loops (D, anti-codon, and T loops). The record is from RNAcentral. Lineage: Bacteria; Pseudomonadati; Pseudomonadota; Gammaproteobacteria; Pseudomonadales.
CUCGGUAUGGUGAAACCGGAUAUCACGGCGGCCUCCUAAGCUGCAAUUUCAGGUUCAAGUCCUGAUACCGAGG